This 400-nucleotide long non-coding RNA is filed under the name Lathyrus oleraceus (garden pea). Its description in RNAcentral is "Pisum sativum (pea) long non-coding RNA (PSAT_LNC007405)". The record is from RNAcentral. Lineage: Eukaryota; Viridiplantae; Streptophyta; Magnoliopsida; Fabales; Fabaceae.
UUGUGAGCGAUUUUGAGAGCGACUGAGAGAGGUGAGUGAUUGUGAGAGAGACGCGAUUGAAGAGUUUGAGGGAGGUGUGAGAUAGAGAGAGUCUGAGAACGAAGGUGAGGAUGGAGGACGACUGAGUUCACUUUUACUUUUUUUGUAUUUUUUUGUAUUUGCUCUUUAUUAAGCAGACAAUUGAAUCCCACUAAGUGACCGUUUAGAUUUCUCAAUUGGUCAUUAACUGUGGUUUGUUGGUAUUAGUUUUAGUUAAAUGCUAGUUUGUGUUCCCAAUCCUUAAUAUUUUGAACCCAACAGCCAGGCGACUAGGGUCACCUUGUGGGAUUCCUCCAUUUUAUUUUAAUUAAUCAUCCAUUAAAUAGACCACCCCAUUUUUAUUUUUAUUUUAAUUCAUACU